This 497-nucleotide long non-coding RNA is filed under the name Junco hyemalis (dark-eyed junco). Its description in RNAcentral is "lncRNA (ENSJHYG00000004507.1)". The record is from RNAcentral. Lineage: Eukaryota; Metazoa; Chordata; Aves; Passeriformes; Passerellidae.
CUGGAAGUCUCUUGCUGUCCAAGGAUGCUGUACUUGUGUGACAAGAAAAUCUGAUUUGCUCCAAGGCAAGGGCAAAGAUAAUUUUUAUUGUUGAUCCUGCACAGCCAGGUCUAGUCUUCAGGACAUAUAUCAUCUGGCUUUUGACCUCCUCCCCUCACCGUGGAGUUACCUUGGUUUCACUGAGAAUGCCUGGAUUUCUGGUUGCUCAUCUUAUUAAUAAGUUAUGCCUCCAGGUUUCUCUUGGCCUUCCAUUGACAAUGCUACUUCGAGAGGAGCGCAUCUGUGUCCUUCUCACUUGUAGCUGCUUCAGCACCCCUGUCAGAUCUAUGAAGUGUGCAAUGCUGUCCCAGAGAAUCAGAGCAGCUGAGUGGGGAAUUCAUCCUUGGCACAAAGACCUGACGCUUGCAGGAUAUCUCAUGAGCCUCAGUGCUGCUGCAACCAGAGUAUGGCUGCCUGCUGGUCUGAGCUGUAUUCAUUACAAAGGCCCAGCUGCCUGA